RNAcentral lists this long non-coding RNA (617 nucleotides) under Citrus x clementina. Its description in RNAcentral is "Citrus clementina (C. clementina) long non-coding RNA (CCLE_LNC005161)". Lineage: Eukaryota; Viridiplantae; Streptophyta; Magnoliopsida; Sapindales; Rutaceae. The record is from RNAcentral.
GUAAUCUUAAAUGACAAGACCCAUAGAAAAUUUGUUAUGAGUUGCAGGUGGGUUUUGGUAAUUAUUAAAACCCGCAGUAAAUAGGUUCGUUGAAAAAGAAAAAAAUCGUGCAGGUUGCUAGCAAGGUUGGUAAUUUAAAUUUUUUGCAGGUGCUUGUUUGGUAUUGGCAAACUUGUAGUGGAUGAUGCCCAUUGUCAUCACUAGAGAAGAUCUCAAGACCUAAAUCUAAAGAAUUUUAUUGUACUCGCGCUUUUUGGCUUUUUGAAUUUAUGCCAAUCUAAGAUUAUUGAACUUAAAUUUGGUUGUUGUACUUAGGGGGCAACUCAUAUUACACUAUAUUAUAUUGCAUUAAAAUACUUUUCUUAUAUAAAUUCAUGUUUGACUGUAAUUUUUAGUUGCAUUGCACUGUAUUAAAAAGAUGUCUAAUACAACAAAAGGAGCAUAAAAUAAGGGUGGGACUAUUUGCACUCUAAAUAUUUCUUUGAACACUUUAUUGUUUUACACACUCAUACACUAAUUAUAAAAUAUUAAGUUUUACUUUGUACACUCUUUAAAAUUUCAAAAAUAUCCUUACUUAAAAUAUUUAAAUUACUUAACUUUAUUUACUUAAAACACUG